Molecule: long non-coding RNA, 1615 nt
Organism: Ruditapes philippinarum (Manila clam)
Lineage: Eukaryota; Metazoa; Mollusca; Bivalvia; Venerida; Veneridae
Exons: 3
Source: RefSeq, a predicted model, not a curated record
GUAGAAUUACAAAAUUUUAUUUUAGAAAUGAAGAUUCUUUGUCAAAAUUGAAAACUAUGAUUUAUGUUUAUGUAUAUUGACGAUAUUUUGUGUGCAUUGUUUAUAUCUAUUUUGGUUGUUUUGGUUUCUUUCUCAAUUUUUUGGAGUUGGUGUGUGAUUGGGGUUAUUCGAUUUUGGUUCGGUGUUUUAGUUUGUCUCUUUGUUGGAGUUGUUUAUGUGUGUUAUGGUAGUUUUUCUUUGCCUUUGUUGGAGUUGUAAAUGUCAUUUGUGUGUUAUGGUUGUUUUUCUUUGUCGAAAAUUCUGGCCUUAUUUCUGAAUAGUUUGGGAAUUGAUGGUCGAUAAGACAGUUGAUUCUUUGCUGAUACAUUGUGAUCGAUUUGAAAAUUUUGGAUUUUGGAUUUUGUUAAACAUGUACAUGUACUAGUCGAAUUAUUAUUAUUCAUCAUUUCAAAUAGUUAUAUCAAUUUCAUUAGAAAUGGGAGACACAUUUAUAGUUAUAUUGAAUUUUUAGCUGUACAAUACCCAAUUCUGUAUAAUUAUAUUGAUGUUUAAUAGUAAUGUGAUAUUUUUGAUAAUUAUAUAAAUACAUAGGUGGAGAAUGCGACAAUAUAUUAAAGAUAACAUUGAUUCUUUUAGAUUUAGAACGUGACAUUUCUAAUAAUGAUAUUCGGGUGUUGAAUGCGACAUUUUUAACAAUUAUAUAUACUUAUUAUUUUAGAUGUAGAAUGCGACAUUUUAGACUAGUAUAAUAUUAUUGUUCUUUGGUUUUUCGUUUGUUUUCAGAUGACGUAAGAAAACAUCACUGGAUUACUUUUGAAAGACAAACUAGAUAAAAUUGUAUAUUUCUAAAUAUUACUACCAUAUAAUUCAUACUAUUGAAAAAAUGUUUAUUGAUCAUUUAGCAGACGUAAAGCAGGAAAUGGCGGGGGGAAGAAUCCUAGCAGACGACAGUUAUCGCGCAGAUGCAAUCAUGCACCAUAUCAGACUGCCCGAAAUUACAGGCUGGCCCAGCUCUAUACUGGACUCGCUUUCAGCAUGUUAGGGUUUGAAAAAGGAAAUCAUAACUUUGUAACGUAGUAGACGACAAUAAAUUUUAAAGUGGAAAUUUGCGACUUCCGGUGUGUCUGCUACUCGAUGUUGUGAUCUCAGUUACUUCCCCUGACGUUCAGUGUCGAGUUUCAGGAUUUGAAAUUAAGAAAGAACGAAAGAUAUGAGAUGAGCACCGGCAAACUGAUCUUGGCAUGUUACAUCCUUAUCACAGAACUGGAACCUACUGAUUAUGAUGAGGUAAAAGUAUAUUUUAUGAAUAUAUGUAUAGAUUUGUUUCUUAGCCUGCUGAAAGCGAAAGUCAUUAGUCUUUGCCUCCAGAAUAGAGCCCGGCCAGCCUGCACAUCUGUGCAGUUUGACCAGCCUCUUUACUGUUUGCUAACUUCCAAUUUUCAUUUUCAUGUGAUAAUUAGUUAUAAUAAUUUAUAAUGGACUGUUCCUUAAAAUAAAAUGUUGAAAAGUCCAUUUAAUAAUUUUCGCAGGUUAAAGCAGCAUGCCUCCAGAUUCAUGCCCAUUCUUCAUGUAAAUUUUGAAAAUGUAUCGAAAAAAGAAAAAUAUAGUGUAUUGA